CACAGAUCCGUUUUGUUAGGCCCACAAGAAAGAGAACAAAUAUCAUAUUUCCCCACAAUCACAGCUUCGUCUGCUCCAAACAAUGCCCUAGGAACUUCAGUUUCAUUCUUCUUCUAGUGCAGCAAACUUGAGCUGAAAAAAGUUGACAAAGUUCAGAAAGGCUAUCCCAUUCCAGGGCCAGGAUAGGUAGGUCCUGGCUCAUUUUUCAGCUGUUUACAGUUGCUCUUCAACACUUGUGCUGUCGAGUAUGCCCAUUGGCCGGCAAAGCCUAGCAAAAACAGUCGGUCAGAAAAUAAUGGAAGCAGGGCCAAAUCCCAAUGUGCAAGCUGCCUCUGGUGGCUCCUUAUCUUCCGGCCUAAUGCCAGAAGGAAUGCGAGGAAAUGAUACAAAGAAGCCUGCAAUGGUAAAAUUUCCUGAAAGAGCAGAUGGAGAAAACAUGACGGGACAAGUUCAUCAUAAGGGUCCACUGCGAUAAGCAGAUCACGGGUGGGUACACUCACGGAGAAGGGAAACAUUAAGUGAGGUGAAACAGUUGCGUAUGGUAUGAUUACAGUCGAGCUGCUAACUUGGAUUGGACUAAUUGUGCUCACCAUGCUUGAGGGGACGAAAGUUGAUAAGGAUUUAUGUUACAGAGAAUAAUUACUUCUAUAAUACAGAGAGACAGCAAAAGUAAAUACUAUUCUUUAAACCAUUUUUACAAAUAAAAUCUUUCGUAGUGUUGAAGGCAAUUAGCAUGUAAAGCUUGUACAUUAGAUGAAAUCCAACGUUAAUAUCACACAGAGAAUUUACUCAAAAUAAAUCAACUUUUUUAUGGGUGUGAAAGAUGAAAUUUUUGUUAUAAAAAGAAAUUUCAGAAUUUGAAAAAUCCGCAAA
Coffea arabica (coffee) is the source of this 873-nucleotide long non-coding RNA. RefSeq lists it as uncharacterized. The record is from RefSeq and is a predicted model, not a curated record. Lineage: Eukaryota; Viridiplantae; Streptophyta; Magnoliopsida; Gentianales; Rubiaceae.